AAAGUCGUAUGGGCUUCCAACCUA
RNAcentral lists this non-coding RNA (24 nucleotides) under Arabidopsis thaliana (thale cress). The record is from RNAcentral. Lineage: Eukaryota; Viridiplantae; Streptophyta; Magnoliopsida; Brassicales; Brassicaceae.